This is a long non-coding RNA of Nematostella vectensis (starlet sea anemone), 1153 nucleotides long. RefSeq lists it as uncharacterized. Lineage: Eukaryota; Metazoa; Cnidaria; Anthozoa; Actiniaria; Edwardsiidae. The transcript is spliced from 2 exons. The record is from RefSeq and is a predicted model, not a curated record.
UUUGUUUGUGGGUUUUCAAGUGUUGGCGAUUUAGACAUGUUCCGCGCCACGUCUGCCGAGCCCUCUCCUGACAAAUCCAGCAUUGAUGCUGAGAAGAAAGCAGCAAAGCAAGCUGUUUUUAUUACUAUGAAGUGUUUUGUGGCGUACGUAGCGAUUUUACGUGCAGCUCCUUAUAUAUAUGAAUUUUUAUCAUGAUGGUAAAUGAAGACUGCAAUGCUGUUUGUGAAGACUGUUGUAUGUGAAGACUGGGGUAUACUUUUCUCUGGAAGAGUAUUCUUUGACUGCUUAAUGUUGGGACUAUAAGACAAUAAAACAAUACAAUGUAAAAACAAUGUCAAGACUGAGCUAGCUACUAUCUGUAUGCACAAGUGGAUGAUGCAAGACAUUUACAAAAUGGGACUUUGGAGUCACAAUUUUGAAAUCUUGGAUUUAUACAAGUGUUCUUACAUAAAAAAGUUUAUUAUCAAUUCAAUAUGUUAUAACAGCCUGCAUGCUGUACUACAGUUAUUGAAGGAAGCACCAUUUAGACAGGCUAUUCUACAAAAGAAUAAAUGGUAUCUAUCAUUAAAAAUGUACAAAACAUUUAUGAAAUAUCUUACAAUGUUGUCUGCCAUUUACCUGUGAAUGAGGUACUAUUAUUUACUACAAUUCUGUCUGCAAAUAUUACUAAGCUGCUUACAAAUGUUAUUUUUCUUUUUUUUUUUUAUAUCUGUUAAACAUGUAGAAUUAAGCCUUUUGGGAGAGCAAAGUGCUUUAUCUUAAAAACUCCUGGGUCAAGCCCCUCAAAAAGGCUUCCUUUAUAUUAUACUCUAUACUCUAACCUACUCAUCUUGUGCCAUACUUGCAGAACUGUUCAACAUGAUUGAUUUUCUUGUAUAGCAUUCUUCAACACAACUCAUUGUUGCUUAUUUUUUAUAGUAUGCAAUAUGUGAAUGUACAUUUUUAACAAGGAAACAUUGUCUAUAAUUUUAGUAAACUUUGUUACAGGAGUAGCUGCAGGUUCUCUAUCUAUGUGUGCUCAGAUGAGAGGAAGGAAACUUUGGCUUCAUCGUCAUCAGUGUCAUCACUAGCAAAAGAAAAUGACAGUUAAACACUUACAUUGAUAUCUUUAUCAUAACCAUCAGUUUUACAAAUAAAUUUUAGUUUAUUAUGA